GAAAUGCGAUAAGUAAUGUGAAUUGCAGAAUUCAGUGAAUCAUCGAAUCUUUGAACGCACCUUGCGCUCCUUGGUAUUCCGAGGAGCAUGCCUGUUCGAGUGUCAUGAAGUUAUCAACUCACUUCUUUGUUGAAGUGCAGCUUGGAUUUGGAGCUUGUUGGCAUUUAUGUCGACUGCUCUUAAAUGCAUUAGCCGUAAUUGCCGAUGGCUGCUUCAGUGUAGUAAACUGCUUCGCUGGCAAACAUCAGUAUAGACGUUGCUCACAAAGACCCUAUUAUUUUAAUCUUUUGACCUCGAAUCAGGUAGGACUACCCGCUGAACUUAA
RNAcentral lists this unclassified non-coding RNA (325 nucleotides) under uncultured Agaricomycetes. Its description in RNAcentral is "sequence contains ITS1". The stretch from base 1 to 105 matches the Rfam family "5.8S ribosomal RNA", at positions 50 to 154 of the family's 154-position model. Lineage: Eukaryota; Fungi; Basidiomycota; Agaricomycetes. The record is from RNAcentral.